RNAcentral lists this ribosomal RNA (428 nucleotides) under uncultured eukaryote. RNAcentral's name for it is "bacterial SSU rRNA". It matches the Rfam family "Eukaryotic small subunit ribosomal RNA", at positions 384 to 813 of the family's 1831-position model. The record is from RNAcentral.
CGGAGAGGGAGCCCGAGAAACGGCUACCACUUCCAAGGAAGGCAGCAGGCGCGCAACUUACCCUAAUCUCGAUUCGAGGAGGUAGUGACAAGAAAUACCGAUGCGGGACCCUACGGGUGCCGCGUUCGGAAUGAGUACGAUUCGAACCACCUAACGAGGAACGAUCGGAGGGCAAGUCUGGUGCCAGCAGCCGCGGUAAUUCCAGCUCCAAUAGCGUACGUUAAAGUUGCUGCAGUUAAAAAGCUCGUAGUUGAACGUUCGGGUUCCGCGGGACGGGGCCGCCCCGCGAGGGACGGCGCCGCCCCGGGGCUCGUGAUAUCUCAUCUCGCCGCCCGUCGCGAGGCGGACGGAGGGAUGGAUGAGGUUACCUGGAAAAAAUCGGGGCGAUCUAGGCGGGCGAACCUCGCCAACGAACGAUCGGACAUGGG